RNAcentral lists this transfer RNA (73 nucleotides) under Ipomoea nil (Japanese morning glory). It matches the Rfam family "tRNA". From Rfam's summary of the family: Transfer RNA (tRNA) molecules are approximately 80 nucleotides in length. Their secondary structure includes four short double-helical elements and three loops (D, anti-codon, and T loops). Lineage: Eukaryota; Viridiplantae; Streptophyta; Magnoliopsida; Solanales; Convolvulaceae. The record is from Rfam by way of RNAcentral.
GGGGGUGUAGCUCAUAUGGUAGAGCACUCGCUUCGCAUGCGAGAGGUACGGGGUUCAAUUCCUUGCACCUCCA